GGCAGCUUAGGCAAGUUAAUUAUAACUUGUUAGAACUAUAAAAUUGGUUGAUAUGAGGUUCUGAAUGGUAGAAGUGAAGUUGAGCCCUUAGGUUGAGGAAAAACUAGUGUUUUGAAUGAGUUUAGAGGAAGUGAGAGGGUGUUUUUGAGUAACUGAGGUCUAGGGUGCAAGUGGGCAGUGGGGACAACUUGAUUGAGUCAUUUGAGACUUGUUUGAAGUGCUAAAUUUGCUAAAAACAGUUUCUAAUUGGUAAAUUUUGGUUUGAGUCUCUAAGUUGUGAAAUUAGAGAUUUUAGGGUCUAAAACAAUGCAUAAAUACUUCAUAAUGUGUUUAGAAAGAGUUAGGAUCACUUAAACAAGUUUAAUUCAACCUGUAGGAUGAAUUAGGGGUGGAAGAAAGGCAUAAAAAGGCCUAAAACGAAAUGAGAGUGGGUGAGUUCUG
RNAcentral lists this long non-coding RNA (441 nucleotides) under Vigna radiata. RNAcentral describes it as "long non-coding RNA (VRAD_LNC003589)". Lineage: Eukaryota; Viridiplantae; Streptophyta; Magnoliopsida; Fabales; Fabaceae. The record is from RNAcentral.